GGACCCUUAGCUCAGUUGGUAGAGCAAGAUACUUUUAAUAUCGAGGUCGCUGGUUCGAGCCCAGCAGGGUCCA
RNAcentral lists this transfer RNA (73 nucleotides) under Citromicrobium sp. RCC1897. It matches the Rfam family "tRNA". Rfam says of the family: Transfer RNA (tRNA) molecules are approximately 80 nucleotides in length. Their secondary structure includes four short double-helical elements and three loops (D, anti-codon, and T loops). The record is from Rfam by way of RNAcentral. Lineage: Bacteria; Pseudomonadati; Pseudomonadota; Alphaproteobacteria; Sphingomonadales; Sphingomonadaceae.